RNA transcript from Agrilus planipennis (emerald ash borer), 2422 nucleotides. RefSeq lists it as uncharacterized. Lineage: Eukaryota; Metazoa; Arthropoda; Insecta; Coleoptera; Buprestidae. The record is from RefSeq and is a predicted model, not a curated record. The transcript is spliced from 4 exons.
AUCCCACUCCGCAGCAGCGGAGCUAUUCGCACACUUGCGCUCACAAAUUUAACAUAGCGUACGCGUUCCAGUAUCUGUAGUCUAGUUCAAUGGAAAAUACAUAUGCCCAACAAGGAACUAAACCAAACCUUUUUAACCAAAAAAUGAAUAUCCAUAGAUAAGGAUUUGUCAUAAACAUUUUAGAAAUAUUAAUGGUGAUUAUUAUCAAUGGUGGUUGUCAUUGAUUGUAACAUGAUUAUAACCUUAAUUAAAAGUAUGCGAAUUUGUCGCAUGUUUAAAAUAUAUAAAAAUGAAAAGUUAAAAAGUUUUCUAAGUAUAUUUGUGUCGUCACAACAAAAUGCAGUCUCUUUUAAUAAGAACAUUGAUACUGUUGUUGCUGAGCGAAGCAAUCAUUUGCUAAGACAUACAUUUACAAGCCGGCUCUUGCUAUAUUUACGUAACGUAAAUGAUAGGAACUUUAAGAAAUAUAAACGAGUACUUAAUCAAAAACCUGCCCUUACAGCCGUAGUUUUGAAUGAAUCGUUAAAAUUGAAAACAAACGAUCUAACAGUUACAGAUAUUACAAAUGCUAUUUUGAAGUUAAAACUCAACUCUAAACAGAUGUUAAACGCUAUGGAUGUUCUUUGUUCUUCAUAUGUAAAAGACUUAACUACAGAAGAACAGUUUUACAUUCUGUAUACAUUUAUAAAUGUAAUAUCAAAUCGAGUUACCCAUUUGAAGUUUUAUCAGGCAGCAAUACAUCACAUCCAAGAGGAUAUAAAAUUCAUUAAGAAAAGUGAUUUGCUACAAUUGAUAUUCUUUAUAGGUUUGAAUAAAAAAAGUAACAAACCUACAAUGAAAAAGUGUUUGAAGCAGCUUUAUAAAAUGGAAAUAAUCAAAGAAUUAAAUGUAAAUGAAUUGUGUAUUGUUUGUCAUGCAGCAUUCAAAACGAGUACUAAAAUUAGAAAUGAAGAAUUACUAGAUAAAGUAAAAGAAACAAUAAAUAAUAAUUUAACAAUCUUAAAAGAUCCGGCACUAUUUGUCACCUUUAUUAAAACACUAAGGCACAAUCAGUUUCAAGAUGAUGAUAUCCUGAGUACAAUUACAUAUACAAUUUUAUUUAAUAAAACAAUAGAUUGUUAUUCAUUUGUUGAAAUUUGUCACAUUUUAGCUUUAUAUUCUGACUAUAUGUAUUAUGAGCAACCGAUUUUAAAAGUAUGUGUAGAAACUGGUAUAAGACAACUGAAAGAAUAUGAUAAAAACAUUGACAAAGUGAUUCGUAUGAAAGACAUUAAACGUUUUUUAUGGGCAGUAAGUUACAUAGGAUAUGAUAAAUUUGAUUCAAGUUGGUGUAGAAAUGUAAUAGUUCCUAGAAUAAUACAAAAGAUUAAGAAUAGGGAAUACAAAUGUGAUACAGAAUCAAUUGUAGAAUGUAUUUUAUAUUUAUGGAUGUUGGAUUGUAAAGCUGUUGAAUUGUUUCCAUAUGUUCUUACACCAACAAGUGUUCAGCAAAUAAGAGAACAAAAGUCUAGAUGCAAAUACAGAUUAAACUUACUUUUAUCUGCAAUACAGUUUGAAGACAGGGAGAUGUAUAAAAAUUUAAAUAUAAAGCCCCAAGGAGAAGAUUAUGAUUUAAAUUAUCAAAUACAAAACAGACCAGUGUUACUGCGAAUCCACGAAAAUUUGAAGCUUUUAUCAAAAACAUCAUCACUUAAUGUUUUUGAAAUAAAUUUUCAAAUUCCUUAUUUAAAUAUAGCAGGAAUAACCGGCUUCAAAAAUAAUAUUUACAAAGCUGUAAAUAUUGAAAUCUUGGACGAGUAUACAUCUGUUAAGAAGAAAUUUUGUUAUCCAUCAGGUCUAAUGCAGCUGAAAUUGCGAAUGCUUAGAACAAUGUCAGAACCAGUUGUAACAAUAUGCCAAGAAGAAAUUCAAGAUAUGAGUGAUCUGGAACUCCAAAAUUACUUAAAAGAAGAGCUAGAGUUUGUUUGAGCAGUAUUUAUUAGAGAUGGGCCGGGUAGUCAGUUUGGAUCCGACACUUGUUUUAGGAUUCGGCCGGGUACCGGAUAAUGACGGCCGAUUUUUAGUGUUUAUAAACAUUAUAAGCUCCUUUCAAUGUUUUUAACUUAACUCUCGUUAAAAAUCCACCAAUUAAGAAUUGAAAUUUCAUUGGCUUAGUGUUUUUGAACGGGACUUAAUGUGAUAUGGGACGUUGGUGAGGAUAGUAUUUUAAUGGAAAACCCACCAAAAUGAAGACAUGAACCACAAAGUGGUUUAGUCAAGUACUAGCACAGCAAAUGCCGGGCACUUGGUAGCACUAUCCGGUGCAUCUCUAAAAUUUUUUACUUUAUAAUAUUGUGAUAUUUCAUUGCAAUUAAUAGACUGACGUAUACAUAUAUUUACAACUUUUGUCUCAAUAAUUAAAAAAAAAAAAUAAAUAAUUUUU